Molecule: long non-coding RNA, 501 nt
Organism: Eublepharis macularius
Lineage: Eukaryota; Metazoa; Chordata; Lepidosauria; Squamata; Eublepharidae
Exons: 3
Source: RefSeq, a predicted model, not a curated record
ACAGGAGCAGCUUAGAGAACUCGUUGAAGCCACGCCGAAGGGUGCCCUCCCUCUGGCUUUUAUACUCUAAGGGCAUUCGGUAUAAAGCCAACCUGAUCACCAUGAAUAUAAUUUCCAAUGAAUAAAUUGAGUCGUUCUGCCAAUAUGGAGGAGAUACAGCGUAGUGUCAUAGGUGAAUGACACCAGUACUUUUGUUUUAAAAACAGAAGAUUUUUUUGGAUUUUAUGAGUCUCUAAAGAGUCCACUGCUUUACGUUCAUGUAGUAAUUGUUUAUAAAAUUUUUUACUGCCCCUUUCCUUAUGUAAACACUCUAGGUGUUGAAUUUUAUCCAAAAUGUUUUGUCUUUUGAAGCUUUCUCUUUUUAUUUAAAUAAGCUGAUAAUGCUAUUAAUUGGCCCCUUAACACUACUUUAAGAGCAUCCCAUAUUAUCUGUGGGGAGAUUGUCUCUGUUUGAUUGUCUUUAAGAUAUUGAUUGAUAUAUUGUUCAAUUGUUGUAACAUU